This 253-nucleotide ribosomal RNA is filed under the name uncultured bacterium. RNAcentral describes it as "partial 16S ribosomal RNA". It matches the Rfam family "Bacterial small subunit ribosomal RNA", at positions 524 to 776 of the family's 1533-position model. The record is from RNAcentral.
UACGGAGGGUGCGAGCGUUGUCCGGAAUCACUGGGCGUAAGGGGCGCGUAGGCGGCCCGGUAAGUAGGGGGUGAAAUCUUGCGGCUUAACCGCAAGGCUGCCUUCUAAACUGCCAGGCUCGAGCACAGUAGAGGCAGGUGGAAUUCCCGGUGUAGCGGUGGAAUGCGUAGAGAUCGGGAAGAACAUCGGUGGCGAAGGCGGCCUGCUGGGCUGUUGCUGACGCUGAGGCGCGACAGCGUGGGGAGCAAACAGG